RNAcentral lists this long non-coding RNA (1715 nucleotides) under Vulpes vulpes (red fox). Its description in RNAcentral is "lncRNA (ENSVVUG00000021106.1)". The record is from RNAcentral. Lineage: Eukaryota; Metazoa; Chordata; Mammalia; Carnivora; Canidae.
CAUACAUAAAAAUUUAUAUGCAUAAUACACAGCUAUGAUAUUUAAAGAAAAAGAUUUUAUAUAAGUGCGUAUAAACACAUUUUAGAUCUAUGAGAAUUAUGCCCACUGAUUUUCUACUGUGAGUGAUGCUGUAAUCACUCAUCAUUGAUGGAAUUUCUUUCUUCCUCACUUCUAGAAAGGGUGUAUGUGAGAACCAUUUGAAAUCCCUUGAAGAGCCUUCCCGAGGAGGAUAACAUGUGUGGAAAUCAUUGAGGGAACACUUCUUCAGAAGUGGAAAUAAAGUUAACCACACCAGCAUGGCAGGUGCCUCAGAACAUAACGCUGGAAUGGUAUGACUCCAAUGCAGGUGGCAACUGUUAAGGAGAUUCGGCUGUGAAAAUGGAAUUGAAAGAGGUCCAACUGCAAAUAGGGGAGGGAAGCCACUGCAAUCCACCAAAAAAAAUGCAGAGAACACAUUUAAUGCAUUGUUUUUGUGAAAAAGAAACCAAACAUCUUAAUCUCAAACGGCAAGAGAUGAGGCCCAUUGGUGAACAACUAUCCAAUCAUAAUAAUGGACUCAACUAAUCCUAGGACCAGUGAAAAGGACAUGAGCUUCUUCAGAAAUUUAAGGAUGUAUGUUUACAUGAACAUUCAAAGAUUUCAGUAAAAAUGCUUCUCAUCCUAAUCCUUCAUCUACAUUCUGUGUAAGACCAAAGAUUUUAUAUGUGGAAGAAAUAAUCAAGAAGCUUAAAAGAAAGAUAUUUCUAUGGAUACAUAUCCCCAAGAAUAACCACCAUAACUAUUUCAAAGUAGCUAACACAUGAGUCCAGACUGGAAAAAGACAGCUGAGCUUAAUUUUCUAUGGCAUUUCCCGUGGUAUUAUAUUUGCUUGUGCCAAAUGGAUAUGGACAUUUUUAGCUCAAGUUUUCAGUGGUUUGUUUUUUCAUCUCAUCUGUGCUCCAAUGCACAAUUUCAUCUGCUCACACCUGCAUAGCCAACAUGUUGGCUAUGUAGAAAACUUCCAUGGCUCCUACUAUCACAUGGGACUGUAGUACUAAAUGCUUAAUGGGCCAGUUGCUUCCAAAGAAAGCAAAAGAUUCAUCAGGAUUUUUUUUUUAAGAUUCAUCAGGAUUUAGACUACCUUUAUGACUGCCCAGUACAAAUGAAAACCCCUUUGUUCCAUUUAUGCCAACAUUUCUCCUCUAAUGCAUUCAUUAGAACCUUUAUCCCUUUUUAGAUGUACUACUUAAUUGAUAACUUUGAUUGGUACUGUUGUGCUUCAUGAUUUGAAGAAUUUUUCAAGAAUGAUUUAUGGGAAGAAAAUAUCCAAGAUUAAGCAAUCAUUUGUAGAUCUUGAUAAGAGACUUAAAAUACUCCUAAGAUCCAUAUUCAUCUCCUACAUUAAGUUCAUUUUAAAACUAGUCCUUUAAUUUUUAUCUUCAGCUAUGAAUAUAAAACCAAUAGCAUCUCUGUUCCAGUUUCAUAGAGGUUCACUGGAAGAGCCUCUACCUGCCUCUAUGGAUUUAACAUCUUUAGCAGCCACGUUGCAGAAAUUUAAGUAAAGUUUGUAUUAAACAAAAGUGUACCCCUUACACCAGAACCAAGUUCUGGAUAAUGGCGACAUAUAUGUAUUCAUUCACAAAUAUGUAUCAAGCUCAAUGAAUAACAGUGAAUAUAAAAAUACUUUUUUCAUGAAUCUUAUGGUAUAAUAAUAAAGUUUAACAACUAAGAAAUCA